CUGAUCUUGCCCAAGAGUCCACAUCGACGGCAAGGUUUGGCACCUCGAUGUCGGCUCAUCGCAUCCUGGGGCUGGAGCAGGUCCCAAGGGUACGGCUGUUCGCCGUUUAAAGCGGUACGCGAGCUGGGUUCAGAACGUCGUGAGACAGUUCGGUCCCUAUCCUCCGCGGGCGCAGGAGAAUCGAGGGAGGCUGCCCCUAGUACGAGAGGACCGGGGUGGACGCACCUCUGGUGAACCGGUUGUCGACCAACGGCACGGCCGGGUAGCCACGUGC
RNAcentral lists this ribosomal RNA (274 nucleotides) under Acinetobacter baumannii. RNAcentral's name for it is "partial 23S ribosomal RNA". It matches the Rfam family "Bacterial large subunit ribosomal RNA", at positions 2482 to 2756 of the family's 2925-position model. Lineage: Bacteria; Pseudomonadati; Pseudomonadota; Gammaproteobacteria; Moraxellales; Moraxellaceae. The record is from RNAcentral.